UACGGAGGGUGCAAGCGUUAUCCGGAUUUACUGGGUUUAAAGGGUGCGUAGGUGGGCAGUUAAGUCAGUGGUGAAAUCUCCGAGCUUAACUCGGAAACUGCCGUUGAUACUAUCUGUCUUGAAUAUUGUGGAGGUGAGCGGAAUAUGUCAUGUAGCGGUGAAAUGCUUAGAUAUGACAUAGAACACCAAUUGCGAAGGCAGCUCACUACACAAUCAUUGACUCUGAGGCACGAAAGCGUGGGGAUCAAACAGG
Molecule: ribosomal RNA, 253 nt
Filed under: uncultured bacterium
Lineage: Bacteria
Description: partial 16S ribosomal RNA
Rfam family: Bacterial small subunit ribosomal RNA
Source: RNAcentral